This 1399-nucleotide ribosomal RNA is filed under the name metagenome. Its description in RNAcentral is "SSU rRNA". It matches the Rfam family "Eukaryotic small subunit ribosomal RNA", at positions 364 to 1686 of the family's 1831-position model. The record is from RNAcentral.
GGGGAAUCAGGGUUCGAUUCCGGAGAGGGUGCCUGAGAUACGGCGCCCACUUCCAAGGGAGGCAGCAGGCGCGUAAAUUAUCCAAUCCCGAUUCGGGGAGAUAGUGACAAGAAAUAGCGAUGCAGGUCCCUUAUGGGUCUUACUAUUGCAAUGAGAACAAUUUAAAAACCUUAACGAGGAACAAUUGGAGGGCAAGUCUGGUGCCAGCAGCCGCGGUAAUUCCAGCUCCAAGAGUGUAUAUUAAAGUUGUUGCGGUUAAAAAGCUCGUAGUUGAACCGAUAGUAUUAGACGCGUUGGUCCCCUCGGUCUACGAUCGUGGGAUUACAUGUCCAAGCGUCCUUUUACAGAAAUAAUGGCUGAAACGUAAAAACAAUUUCCCUCUAGUUUGAGGGGUUAUUGGUUGGCAGAGAUUUUACUUUGAAUUAAUUAGAGUGUUCAAAGCAGGCGUUAAUACGUCUUGAAUACAUUAGCAUGGGAUAAUGAAAGAUGACCUUUUGUCUACUUUUGAUGGGUUUCUAAGACAAGGGUAAUGAUUGACAGGGACAGUUGAUGUCGCUUGUACUCAGCGGCGAGAGGUGAAAUUCUAAGACCCGCUGAAGACAAACAAAUGCGAAGGCAUUCGACAAGGAUGUUUUCAUUAAUCAAGAACGAAAGUUGUAGGAUCGAAGAUGAUCAGAUACCGUCGUAGUUACAACUGUAAACUAUGUUGACUCAGGAUCUGUGGAAGUUACAUGGAUGACUUCACAGGCAUUGUAUGCGAAAGCAUAAGUAUUCGAACUCCGGGGGGAGUAUGGUCGCAAGGCUGAAACUUAAAGGAAUUGACGGAAAGGCACCACCAGGAGUGGAACCUGCGGCUUAAUUUGACCCAACACGGGGAAACUUACCCAGUCCGGACACAAUGAGGAUUGACAGAUUGAUAGACCUUUCUUGAUUUUGUGGGAGCCGGUGCAUGGCCGUUUUUAGUUGGUGGAGUGAUUUGUCUGGUUAAGUCCGAUAACGAACGAGACCCCAAUUUGUUAAAUAGUGGGUUUAACAUGGAGAGUUCAUGGUUCUUCGGGUUCGCUCGGGUUCCGUGUUCUCUUCGCAAAUAAUGUUGAAAGUAUUCAUUUCUUAGAGAGACUAGUGGUUUUCAAACCACGGGAAGUUUGGGGCAAAAACAGGUCUGUGAUGCCGCUAGAUGUCCGGGGCUGCACGCGCGUUACACUGACAUGUUCAACAAGUACGGAAAUUUUGUUUUAACCUAGCCCGAGGGGGUUUGGGUAAGCUUGGAAAGCAUGUCGUGAUGGGGAUUGUGCUUUGUAACUAUCGCACAUGAACGAGGAAUUCCUAGUAGGGGUAAGUCAUCAACUUGCCCCGAUUACGUCCCUGCCUUUUGUACACACCGCCCGUCGCUUCUACC